AGAUGUUAAAAGCAAGAGACAUGGGAGAGCAUCAUUCCUUUGAGAUUUUAUAAAUCAAACCAACUUUGGAGUUGUCUGAUUUGGAGAGUCAUUAUUCUUGGUCUUCGCUCUUAGAGGCCACUGAUGAAGAACAGGCGGUGACUGGGAUGAAUGCUGGUCAGAGAGGAGAAUCUUCUUUUGCCUAAACUGAUGCAGUGGUGGUUUUAAAGGAGGACGCUGCCCUGGAUGAUGUAGAAGAUGUCACAUGCUGUGCUGAUGGGGUUUCUUCAUGACUACAUCAGUUAUGCUAAACAGAUCAUGAAAAUUGACUGUGAUGCAUGAUCUGUAUUCAUGGACUAUGAAACAAACUGUAAGUGUAUAAUUUGUUAAAAAAAAAAAAAAGUUAAAUGCUUUUUCUGUGUUGUUUAGUAGAAGAGUUUACACUGUCAUUCAUACACCUGCUCACAUUCUUUCACACACACACAUACAUGCAUCUGUUAAAUGUUAUAAUAUCAAAGUUAAUGUUGUGAAUUAUUUGUGUACUGUCAUGCCAGAAUAGUUGAAAAAAAACCUAACUAAUUGUAAAUUUAUUGUAUGUGUUUUCGUAUAUUUUUAUACAAUAUAUACAAUUGAACAAAGUCCAAUUUGAUCUUAAGUUAUAUUCAUCAAAUGUUCAAUGCUUUGUUUAUGAACUCUGUAGCUGUUAAUGCCAUCCUUUUUCUGCAUUUCUUCUAACAUGUUACUUUUUGACUUUUCUCUUGUUUUUAAUAAAUAUUUUCCUUUUGGUAAUUAUUAUUUGUGUGUAAAAGUGAUAUUUAAAAUGAACAACAUUUGUAGGUUUAAUGCCUAGCUCAAUUUGGGUUAAUUUUAACGUAGAAAUGCAUUGUUUCCCCACAUGGCUGCACUCUGCGAGUUUAUUUUCUGCCAGCAGGAGGCGCUAAGAGCGGGAGAGGUAGGUUUCUCCGGUAACGGCUGCA
Molecule: long non-coding RNA, 956 nt
Organism: Carassius gibelio (silver crucian carp)
Lineage: Eukaryota; Metazoa; Chordata; Actinopteri; Cypriniformes; Cyprinidae
Exons: 3
Source: RefSeq, a predicted model, not a curated record